GUGAGCUGUCAAAGACUGCCUUGCUUCUUCUCCAGAAUAACCAUAGACUUUACAACUGAAAUUACUGGGAAGCUGAUGGGGAUUUGUAAUACAUGUGCUAAGUUAUAAAGGCGUUUGGAGAUCGCCUUCCCUGAGUCCUUCAUCACGAAGCGCUUUGUGUGGCUGCACGGGAGGAUGCACAGUUCCAGCUCUGAGCUCCUGGGCCUUCUGGAGAGGCAUGUGGUGUGGGAAGAUCUGUCCGCGAGUCAGAACUCUCCUGACAGAAAAACGGAGUUAAAAGUUGUUCCUAAGAAAACCUUGUUUCUGCUCAGUUUGCCUCCAUCGGCGUCCAUCAGACCCACGUGUCCCCAGCACCGCACAGCCCUCAGCACUUCUGUGUGCACAGUUUUAUUCACGUCGUUCUCACCCUUCUCGAUCCCCCGCUGCUGACACGUGGAGUUUUAAAACACGGGUGCCUGAAGCGGCACCACGGCUGGCUGCCAGCGACGGCAUGGAGAGGAAAACUUCCCGGUCUCUGCGGUGGCCACAAAGGAUUCACGUUCCUGACACCAGGGCUCCUUCCCAGGAGGGUUGGUUUGUGUCACGCUGCGUUUUUACAGAAGAUGUGACUGGAUGUAAGUCCGCCUCCUCAGGGCCUUUGUAUCAUUUAGCAUCCCACUGGGAUCUGUUUUCCACUCUGCAGGAAGCCCGCCCCAAACUGACUGUAAAUUACCAGGCAGAAGUCUUUGAUUACUCACCAAUUAUCUCUUUUCCUUUCAGCACAUGAAACGCUCUAUAUGAGAUAAUUCCUGGAAAUUCGGUGUAAAUGGUAACAUUUAAAUUAGCAUGCUGGAAAGUUGGUUGCCUGUUACUUACCUUGAACAGAAAAUUUCCCCCGCGAUUCUUUCUGUUCUGUUGUUUUCCAUGUAAACACAAACCCGGUGCGAGUGCUUGAACACACGGCUUACAUUGUGCUUCUGCUGUUACAGUGACAAAAACAUUCUCACUGAGCUUCUUUGGACUUUAUUGAUCACUUCAGUAAGAAGAAAACUCUCAUCAUUGCACAGAGCUUGAGAUGGAGAGAGGGCUCUCAUUUCUUACCUUAAUCUCAGUGAAACAAACUUUUCAGUGCUUUUCUUGUUUUUGUUUUUGUUUUUUUUUCUUGGAAAAUGCUGGGAAGCAAUAAAAUAAUUGAGAUCUACUUCA
This is a long non-coding RNA of Tympanuchus pallidicinctus (lesser prairie-chicken), 1185 nucleotides long. RefSeq lists it as uncharacterized. The record is from RefSeq and is a predicted model, not a curated record. The transcript is spliced from 2 exons. Lineage: Eukaryota; Metazoa; Chordata; Aves; Galliformes; Phasianidae.